CCUACGGGAGACAGCAGUGAGGAAUAUUGGUCAAUGGACGAGAGUCUGAACCAGCCAAGUAGCGUGAAGGAUGACUGCCCUAUGGGUUGUAAACUUCUUUUAUAAAGGAAUAAAACGAGGCACGUGUGCCUGUUUGCAGGUACUUUAUGAAUAAGGAUCGGCUAAACCCGUGCCAGCAGCCGCGGGAAUACGGAGGAUCCGAGCGUUAUCCGGAUUUAUUGGGUUUAAAGGGAGCGUAGAUGGGUUGUUAAGUCAGUUGUGAAAGUUUGCGGCUCAACCGUAAAAUUGCAAUUGAUACUGGCAGUCUUGAGUACAGUUGAGGUAGGCGGAAUUCGUGGUGUAGCGGUGAAAUGCUUAGAUAUCACGAAGAACCCCGAUUGCGAAGGCAGCUUACUAACCUGUGACUGACAUUGAUGCUCGAAAGUGUGGGUAUCAAACAGGAUUAGAUACCCGUGUAGUC
Molecule: ribosomal RNA, 460 nt
Filed under: uncultured bacterium
Lineage: Bacteria
Description: partial 16S ribosomal RNA
Rfam family: Bacterial small subunit ribosomal RNA
Source: RNAcentral